Molecule: transfer RNA, 79 nt
Filed under: Candidatus Bathyarchaeota archaeon
Lineage: Archaea; Thermoproteati; Candidatus Bathyarchaeota
Also listed under: 1 other name
Description: tRNA-Arg
Rfam family: tRNA
About the family: Transfer RNA (tRNA) molecules are approximately 80 nucleotides in length.
Source: RNAcentral
GGGCCCGUAGCCCAGUACGGAUUAAGGCGUCGGCCUCCGGAGCCGAAGACCAGGGGUUCAAAUCCCCUCGGGCCCGCCA